CUCUCGAUUAUUCCUUCUUCGUAUACUAUUUGCCACUAUGUUACAUGUUUUUCUUUAUAUAUGUAUAAUGAGAUAAAUUUAUGUCUUUGUGAAUUAAUUUUUUAUUUUUUAAACACCAGAGGAUGGAUUUGACAAGAAAACUCAGAGUAUUCCUGGUAUAACAAUAGGGUGAAUCUUAAAGUGAUAGCUUCCCCAAACAGACUUCAAUUUGUAAUCAUUAGGUUUUAGCUACUUGAGUCCGCUUACAAGACUUCUCCAGCAAAGAUCAGUUGGUAGCAGCAACGUCAAUUGUUUCCCGCUACCAGCAUCUAGGAUAAAUCGGAAUGAUAGUGGUUGCAAGGUGACACCUGAUAGGCAUCCCAUGAAUUCCUUAAAUCGGAAUGAUAGUGGUUACAUGGAAAGGAAUUGAUUUGGUUAGUACUCUUAAUGUGUUCAUGUGAAGGAUUGCAAUGUUCUCUUGCAAAGAUUUCAGUUUGAAAUUCAAAAUUUAAAGAAUCGAAGUCCUAAUCAUCUUCUUUGUUGGUAUGUAUUCAGUUUUUUCUCCAUUUUCAUAUAAUUUCUUCUCCAUUCUUAUUUGAUUAAUUGUGCAAGGAUCCACGGGUUCCUGAUUACAAGCACACCCGAUAUGUAUCAAAUCACAGAUAUAAUGUUUUUGGUACAUAUUCCGAAUGAAAAGUUGGCAGGUGAUACAGUUCGGGUUGCAAUAUCAUUUUCAGUGCUUUAGAUUGUAUUAUAUUAUGUACGCUGAUUUCUCUAAUCCAACUUGAAUACUUCUUUUGAUUUGUAGCUAUCAAGAAACCUGCAAUAUGUAACCAGAUUUCACUAUCUUCAAAACAUGAAGUUGAUAGGUGGUUGCUGAGGAAACUGGUUUCACCAGGGAUGAGAUGAUUAGCAGCUAGGGAUUCAAAUUUUUUGAAUACUCAUGAAGUUGGUGGGCAUAAAAAGUUGCAAAGUGCAUGUGGGAGUUGUUCUGGAGUGUCCAAAGCAGGCUGAUCAAGAAUAACAAUAGUAAAGCCGGUCUUUAGUGAAAGUGAUGAGAAUUGUCUUUGUUUCUUUGCUCUGGUAGUAUGCUCUAAGAAGCAGGACCUCUGGUUACGUAGAUUAAAUUGUACUUUCAUAUUGGGGUUAAUUUAAUCUAAGGUGAUUACAAGACAAAAAAUUCUCGGUGCCAAGUCAGGGAAUGAAAAUAUGUAUACUUUCUAACUAAAUAAAGUGAAUACUUUUGCAUUACACUAUAUGCAAUAUGUAGGAUAAGAAUUUAUGUGGCAGCAGUUGUACU
Molecule: long non-coding RNA, 1279 nt
Organism: Daucus carota subsp. sativus
Lineage: Eukaryota; Viridiplantae; Streptophyta; Magnoliopsida; Apiales; Apiaceae
Exons: 3
Source: RefSeq, a predicted model, not a curated record